Molecule: long non-coding RNA, 1216 nt
Organism: Astatotilapia calliptera (eastern happy)
Lineage: Eukaryota; Metazoa; Chordata; Actinopteri; Cichliformes; Cichlidae
Source: Ensembl
AGGAGGCCUGACUGUGGUAUUUGUGCCACUAAUAUCUACCUCUUUGCAAGACCCCGAUCAAUGAGUCAUUACAGAGGAAUGGACUCCUUGCGUGUUCAUGCACACCAGUGUGGAGCAAAGCAGCCUGAGUAUCUAAGAUCGACACAGCUCAGAAAACAUGUUGCCACACUCUCACAAGUCCUUAAUUUGAAAAACAACGAACUUGAUCAGGUUGCAGAUUUCCUGGGUCAUGAUAUCCGCGUUCACCGCGAAUUCUACAGAUUACCAGUUCCCACAACACAGCUGGCCAAGAUUUCCAAACUGCUUUUAACACUGGAAAAAGGACAUCUUUCCCAGAUCCAGGGGAAAUCACUGGAUGAGAUCAAAAUAGAUGAAAUUGCAUUAAGUGAUGCUGAAACAAAGGACAGUGAGAGUGAAUCAGAUGAUGAUGACACAGCACUCACAAUGUCGGCGUGUGGCACCAGUGAGCCUGUACAUGCAGUAGCUGAUUCCACAAACACAGCGCAGCUCCAAGACACUGUAGAUUGUGCAGAUGAAGGACCACUCACAAUGCCUACAGCAAGUGAGACUGCUGCUCCCUCUGAAGAGAAAAAUGCUGCUCAAUCCCACAAUUCCCGAAGAGCUCCCAAAAACAUGUGGUCCAAGGCUGAGGUUGCUGCAGUGAUGAGGCAUUUUAAAGACCACAUAAACGAAGGGAAACUAGCCACCAAAAAUGAAUGCAGUCAUUGCAAAUUGGUAGAAGAUCCGGUGUUGGCAGGAAGAACAGUUCAAAACAUAAGAGAUUUUGUAAGAAACAGAGGAUUAACUGCAAAAAGGCAGAAAAAAAUGAAUUAAAAUAACUGUUUAGCCAGAUGUGGUUUUACAUCUUGGUCAGAUUGCCAAUUGUUGUUAACACUGAUGUUCUGUUUAAAGAAAAAAAAAGUUCUUGUUAAAUACAGAAGUAGUUUGUAUUUCAUAAUUUUUACAUUUAAUUUAUUUAGGGUUUUUUUUUGACGGGUUAUAUUUAAAAUAAAAAAUUAUAAAUGCAUAUUUUCUCCCCUUAAUAUUUACCUUUAAACUAUUAAAAUUCAUUUUAAAUGUUUUUAAUUUUUCUGUUUUCUAUAUUUUUAUAUUUCUGUGGGAAGCGUGGGCAUUUUUGUCCAUAGAUUUCUUUUUUUAUUUAUGGUUAAAAUUAAUGUUCAGAUCCAAGAACACUAAUAAAAUGAUGUUCCAGUAA